GAUGAAGAACGCAGUGAAAUGCGAUACGUAAUGUGAAUUGCAGAAUUCAGUGAAUCAUCGAGUCUUUGAACGCACAUUGCGCCCCCUGGUAUUCCGGGGGGCAUGCCUGUCCGAGCGUCAUUGCUGCCCUCAAGCACGGCUUGUGUGUUGGGCCUCCGUCCUCCUCCCGGGGGACGGGCCCGAAGGCAGCGGCGGCACCGCGUCCGGUCCUCGAGCGUAUGGGGCUUCGUCACCCGCUCUUGUAGGCCCGGCCGGCGCUUGCCGACACAUCAAUCUUUUUUCCAGGUUGACCUCGGAUCAGGUAGGGAUACCCGCUGAACUUAAGCAUAUCAAUAAGCGGAGGA
Molecule: unclassified non-coding RNA, 344 nt
Filed under: soil metagenome
Description: partial contains 5.8S ribosomal RNA, internal transcribed spacer 2, and large subunit ribosomal RNA
Rfam family: 5.8S ribosomal RNA (bases 1-120)
Source: RNAcentral